Molecule: long non-coding RNA, 953 nt
Filed under: Nicotiana benthamiana
Lineage: Eukaryota; Viridiplantae; Streptophyta; Magnoliopsida; Solanales; Solanaceae
Description: long non-coding RNA (NBEN_LNC016028)
Source: RNAcentral
ACUAAUGGUCGUUGGCCUUAUUACAUUUUUAAAGCAACUGAAAAGGCUCCUAACUACUUGGUCCCAAAAGGACCUUCCCCAGAAUCGGCAUUUUUAGCUCCAUCUAACAGCUUCACCAUCUCACAAAGUCCUAGCAGUAAGUAAGCUCGGUCCAGAUGUCCACCCGCAUUUCCUUUGUCAUUUUGACAAUCUUCAAUCCUUUUGACGAAUACCCCUUCCAGCUCCACUAAUCCUUGCUCUAAGUGCCGCAGUAACUUGUCGCCGUGGACAGCCAUAUCUUUCCAUUCUUCAAUCAGAUUUUGGUGGGCUUCUUGAAUUUCUUGAUGCUCACUUUCGCAUUCCUUUUACACGGCUGGUUAUACUUGACAUGUGCUUCAGUCUUUUCCUCAAUGAUCCCGUGACCUCGAACAUAUCCUGGUUGACCUAACCCAUCUCGACCAUCUUCCAACCAAUCCAUAUAGUAUGGAGUAUAGUCAGCGUGGUGUCUGUCUGGUUCAAUGGAAUCCUUUAUCAGUACGAUUUUGCAAUGCCAUAUGUAUUGAGCUUGGCACUUGUAUGGAUAAUCGUCGUCAUGAAAGUCAGCCCUGAAGUGGCUCAUCUUGUCGACCCUUGGUAUAAUCUACUUCCUCCCUCCCUGUAUCAUAACUCGGAGAGGAAUGUAAGGAUAAGUUCCCCUAAAAUCGAUAAGUAUCAAGAACGGUGUAUCCCUAGAUCGGGUGAACGGUGCAUCCCUAGAUCGGGUAAUGAACUCUUCAGUUGGAAACCAUUCAAACAUUCACUGCGCUUGGUCCUUUUUCAGAUUUUCAAAUAACUCUACCCACCCUCCGGCAUUUUCUAGCUGAGCGAACAUGUUGGGCAUAUAAUUCAUUCGCCUUGGCUAAUAGAAAGCGAUAUGAUCAUCCCAGUCUCUGCGCAGAAUCUCUUGCCGAUAUUCACCCUUUUGGAGGUGCUCC